This is a long non-coding RNA of Bos taurus (domestic cattle), 498 nucleotides long. NCBI's taxonomy places the organism in Eukaryota, Metazoa, Chordata, Mammalia, Artiodactyla, Bovidae. The record is from Ensembl.
GCUGCGGGCCCUCCCCUCCCCCACGGUGCCCCGUCUGGCCAAAGGACAAAUCUCAAGGGGAAACCUGCAAAGACAAACAAGGAGCAGUGACUUCAUUAUCGUCGUUAAUUUGCCACUUCAGUUCCUCCCACAAGGGUCAGAGCCGGCACGGCUUGAACUCAGGACUGAGGCGGAGGCCGAGCCGGCCGCCUGCCUUUUCCGCCUUAAGCCUCUCCCACAGCCACUCGGCCUCCCCUCCUCCUCCCGGCCUUCAUUUCUCUGCAGGGGGUCAGGCUCCGGGUUUUUCUCUUCCGUUUCGCAGUCCUCGCAGCCUCAGCCUACCGCCCUCCUUUUUCAUUUAAAUUAUUUGGCCUUCCCUCCGGCUCUCCUGGCUCCAAAGGCCUGAAUGAACCUGGCCCUUUGCAUAAGAUAGCUUCUGUCACAUGGAUGAAAACUGCCUCCUGAAGCACACUGAAUCCAAAUAUGGCCCCUGACCAGUGACUACCACAAUCAUCAAUC